RNAcentral lists this long non-coding RNA (862 nucleotides) under Pan troglodytes (chimpanzee). RNAcentral describes it as "long non-coding RNA NONPTRT013754". The record is from RNAcentral. Lineage: Eukaryota; Metazoa; Chordata; Mammalia; Primates; Hominidae.
CAGACUUGGAACUGAAGAAGCUGGCAAUCUGGAAAUGCCAAUGGACGCAGAUUUUAAAAGCCCCAGCAAAAGUCUGCUUUCUCUAUUCAUAGGACCAGGAUCAGGAAGAGGACAGCUUAGAAAGACAUAAAAUUCUUAGACAAUAACUGUUCUACCCCAGCCAAACACCAAACACACACACACACACACACACACACACACACACACACUCCAACAACUAUGGCCCCACCCACUUCAGCAAAGGCUGAGUAGGAGCCUAGACUUCCACCACUGAGCGGCUAUAAGAAGUUACCCCAAGACCCCACCAACGUGGUGUUAAAGAAGGCCAAAUAGGGGACAAGAUUUUUAUCCAUGCUGACCAGUUAUGAGGUUCCCUUUUUCCCCCUGUGAAAUAAAAAUAAAGCCCGUAGGUCCCCAGGCAAGAUGAAAUGGACUCCUUGUUGCAAAAGAGACCCCAGAAAACUUUAAAAGCUGGAUUCUAUGGCUUUGGCAAGUGGGAGACCCUUCACAUGUUUCCUGUGGUGUUUUUACAAGUAUUCCCAUAAUUUUUGAGCAGUUUCUUACUUUCUGAAGAAAAAACAGAUAUUCGUUUCUUCUUGCACUUUUGUCACCACUAUCCUGAGAUACUAUCUUUGUGAUCACCAUGGCGAUUACACAUGACAUCCUAAAGUUAUAACAAUCUGGCCAGGCAUGGUGGAUCAUGCCUGUAAUCCUAGCACUUUGGGAGACUGAGGUGGGUAGAUUACUUGAGGUCAGGAGUUCAAGACCAGCUUGGCCAAUAUGGCAAAACCCUGUCUCUACUAAAAAUACAAAAAUUACCUGGGCCUGGUGACACAUACCUGUAAUGGCAGCUACUGGGGAG